This 253-nucleotide ribosomal RNA is filed under the name uncultured bacterium. Its description in RNAcentral is "partial 16S ribosomal RNA". It matches the Rfam family "Bacterial small subunit ribosomal RNA", at positions 524 to 776 of the family's 1533-position model. The record is from RNAcentral.
UACGGAGGGGGCUAGCGUUGUUCGGAAUUACUGGGCGUAAAGGGCGUGCAGGCGGUCUGUUAAGUCUAGGGUGAAAGCUCCCGGCUCAACUGGGAGAGGUCCUUGGAUACUGGCGGACUUGAGGGAGGCAGAGGAGUAUGGAAUUCCCGGUGUAGUGGUGAUAUGCGUAGAUAUCGGGAGGAACACCAGUGGCGAAGGCGGCUUCCUGGACCAGCACUGACGCUGAGGCGCGAAAGCUAGGGGAGCAAACAGG